Long non-coding RNA from Cryptomeria japonica (Japanese cedar), 1284 nucleotides. RefSeq lists it as uncharacterized. The transcript has 3 exons. Lineage: Eukaryota; Viridiplantae; Streptophyta; Pinopsida; Cupressales; Cupressaceae. The record is from RefSeq and is a predicted model, not a curated record.
AUGGGCUAAAAAUUGCCCUUCAAUGAAUGUUUUAAACCUUAGUCGAGGGAGUAACCUCUGCGAUUCUGUUAAAUAAGGUUUGUUGUGGUCUUUGCGAUUGUAAUGGGAGUUCUAUCUCCUGUUCUGCAAGAUGAAAUUGUCGGCAGUGCCUGCUUAGGGUGGAAUUAAAUUCCCAUCACAUUCUCAGAUGUUUGUGUGAAUGCUGGAAGGGGAUACUAAAGAGUCCACAUUUCCGAGCAGUGGAUAUGCGUGCUCUGUAUGUAAAACAGAUUUGGCUUCAAAUCCUCCGUAAUUAUAACCCUUCAGAGAAGACUUGGGGAGGCUUCUACCCAUUCCCCAAACCCUUAUUGAUGGGAAGGCAUUUCCAAUCAUUGCUCACCGCCAUUUAGUGAAACAAAAUUUUGGUUUUGAUCUCAGAUACGGAUGUGACAGGUUAUCGUUGUAUGAUUUUUUUUUCUAGAUGACAAUGGAGUGCCCUCAUGCCCCACAUGGCGGGGGCACUUUGCGUCCGCAUCUGAUGAGGACAAACGACUGAUUUAUGUCGGUGGAGGGAGGAUUUGAUGACUUCCUCCGUAGUGCUGCUGUUCACAACGCGAAGGGGGACAAAGCGGAUCUUCUCUUCGACGCGAAUAACCCUCUGGAGCGCUCACGGAAAGCUUUAGACAAGUUGCAUGUGACCACCAUUAAGGUUUUCGAUUACUGACACACAAAGCUGGAAAACUAUGGAUAACAUACUCAGGCCUGUGUUUGUCGUAAUUGCAUUUGGGAGUAUAGUUCAAGUGGAUUGGCAUUGACAGCCCUCCAGACUUUGAUUACUGUGUUGAUGCUGCUACCACACUGGAUCUUUGACCGUUUCUUAAUUUUGAGGAUAUCAGUCUGAACAAUGAUCAGAACACAUCUACCCAGUUGCACGUGUUGGCGGUAAUAGGACAGGGAAGCUAUCCUUGCAAGUAGGGGGGUCAUACAUGUGGGAAUAAGAUGAUCAAAUGAUAACCAACAAAUCAAUUUCCCCAGUGGAGAUUUUUGAAGUUCAAGUCCAAUCCUUGUGUAUCUACACAAGAAGUUGUUAAAAACUAUGGUAACAUGAUAUCAAACAUUAGCCCAGUAUUGUGGUUUUGAUUUCUAUACGGGAAGCUAAAUAGCUAUGGGCAAUAGACUCGAGCCUUUAUUGAACAGAACUGUAGGCAAGAUCAGUUGAACAUUGUAGGUCCUCUUCCAACAGGAUAUUGGUGUUCAUUUAUUAGUUGGCUGGUCAUAAUAAUUUUGUAAGUACAUGGGAUCCCA